RNAcentral lists this ribosomal RNA (420 nucleotides) under bacterium enrichment culture clone ALO1_GLFRUDD03F1LPG. RNAcentral's name for it is "bacterial SSU rRNA". It matches the Rfam family "Bacterial small subunit ribosomal RNA", at positions 9 to 431 of the family's 1533-position model. The record is from RNAcentral.
GAGUUUGAUCGUGGCUCAGAUUGAACGCUGGCGGCAUGCCUUACACAUGCAAGUCGAACGGCAGCACGGGAGCUUGCUCCUGGUGGCGAGUGGCGAACGGGUGAGUAAUGCAUCGGAACGUAUCCUGGAGUGGGGGAUAACGUAGCGAAAGUUACGCUAAUACCGCAUAUUCUGUGAGCAGGAAAGCGGGGGACCUUCGGGCCUCGCGCUCUUGGAGCGGCCGAUGUCGGAUUAGCUAGUUGGUGAGGUAAAGGCUCACCAAGGCGACGAUCCGUAGCAGGUCUGAGAGGAUGAUCUGCCACACUGGAACUGAGACACGGUCCAGACUCCUACGGGAGGCAGCAGUGGGGAAUUUUGGACAAUGGGAGCAACCCUGAUCCAGCCAUGCCGCGUGAGUGAAGAAGGCCUCGGUUGUAAGAC